CCUACGGGUGGCAGCAGUGGGGAAUAUUGGACAAUGGGGGGAACCCUGAUCCAGCCAUGCCGCGUGUGUGAAGAAGGCCCUCGGGUUGUAAAGCACUUUCAGUGAGGAAGAACGCCUGGUGGUUAAUACCCAUCAGGAAAGACAUCACUCACAGAAGAAGCACCGGCUAACUCCGUGCCAGCAGCCGCGGUAAUACGGAGGGUGCGAGCGUUAAUCGGAAUUACUGGGCGUAAAGCGCGCGUAGGUGGCUUGAUAAGCCGGUUGUGAAAGCCCCGGGCUCAACCUGGGAACGGCAUCCGGAACUGUCAAGCUAGAGUGCAGGAGAGGAAGAUAGAAUUCCCGGUGUAGCGGUGAAAUGCGUAGAGAUCGGGAGGAAUACCAGUGGCGAAGGCGGCCUUCUGGACUGACACUGACACUGAGGUGCGAAAGCGUGGGUAGCAAACAGGAUUAGAUACCCUGGUAGUC
Molecule: ribosomal RNA, 465 nt
Filed under: Vreelandella stevensii
Lineage: Bacteria; Pseudomonadati; Pseudomonadota; Gammaproteobacteria; Oceanospirillales; Halomonadaceae
Description: partial 16S ribosomal RNA
Rfam family: Bacterial small subunit ribosomal RNA
Source: RNAcentral